Pseudophryne corroboree (corroboree frog) is the source of this 3129-nucleotide RNA transcript. RefSeq lists it as uncharacterized. NCBI's taxonomy places the organism in Eukaryota, Metazoa, Chordata, Amphibia, Anura, Myobatrachidae. The record is from RefSeq and is a predicted model, not a curated record. The transcript has 7 exons.
UUCCUUUCCCCAGCCAGAGACAGGGAGGCCGCGGGCAAAUGACUCUCACCCUGGUCACUAAUGUGUAACCGGAGGUAUGGCCGAGACUCCUGCAGCUGCACCCGGUCCACAUGCAGCGCCGUUACAGAGACGGCGAAAUGUGUUCAUUUAUCAAGCGACGAAAAGAUUAUCAGCCGGACUGGAGACUUCGUUGUGUACCAUGCCCCUGAAUGGAGGGAUGUGUCUUCCUGGCCCCUCCCCUCCGGGCUCCGCAACGACUUCCGGUCACUGAGUAGUGGCGGCGGUAGUGAUGCUAGGGUAGCGGACUAGUGGGGAGUCGGCCGGGAAGAGUGCGGCACCGGCACCGGCACCGGCACCAGCAGGUUUCACAUUCAUUCCAUCACAUUUGUUAAAAUCAUACUAAGUUCAUUAUGGAGAUUUUCCUGGAGUAUUUAAGAAUGCGUGCUCGGAUACAGAUUGCUACAGCCCAAGGGUCAUCAGACUCACAAGUCGGAGAGCAGCAGCAGCGCCAACAGCGCCAACGCCAUCGAAGACGUAUGCGCAAGCCACGUACCUUUAGACCGCGACAGACUCUGGACGGUCUACAUGAGGAAGACAUCAUAAGACUCUACAAGUUGCCUUCGGCUGCUAUAUUGUCCCUUUACGAACUGGUCAAAGACGAGCUGGAGCCAAAGACACGUCGAAGUAAUGCCGUGCCUGGAAUAACCAAACUGUUGAGCACACUGCAUUUUCUGACCUCUGGGUCUUUUCAGCCGACUGUGGCAACUGAGUGUGGAUUUUCACAGCCAACAUUUUGCAGAUUUUUUUCCACAGUUAUACACGGCUUACUGAAACACGUCAAGAACUACAUUUACUUUCCACGUGAUCAGGGGGAGUGGCAGGAGGUGAAGCAAGCUUUUUUUGCCAUUGGAGACAUACCAAACGUUAUGGGUGCAAUAGGCUGCACACAUGUUGCGUUUACACCCACCCAUGAUAUGGAUAUGGUCUGUCGCAAUAGGAAGCACUUCCACUCUAUGAACAUGCAGGUGGUAUGUGAUGCCAACUAUAGAAUCCUUAACGUUUUUGCUGCAUAUCCAGGAUCCACUGACAACUCUUACGUACUCUGCAACUCUUCUGUUUUUCGUGACUUUGAGGAUUCCAAACUGCAAGGAGGAUGGUUGUUAGGUGAUUCUGGUUAUGGCUCGAGAUCUUGGCUUCUUACACCCAUAUCUAGACCUAGUAACCGAGCAGAACGUCGGUACAACAAGGCACACCUAGCCACGCUGCGUGUGAUCGAUCAGACUUUUGCCAUUCUGAAAAGCCGUUUCCGCUGCUUAGAUCGAUCAAGAGGCACUCUGCAGUACUCUGCGGUCAAAGUGUGUGAGAUUUUUACCGUCUGUUGCAUGUUGCACAAUAUAUGCGUUCAGCAUAACCUUCCAGUGUUGCAGGAUCCAAAUCUUCCUGAGGAUCCUAAAGCAUUGCCUGCCCGUGAUGGAACUUUCUUAGGUAGUCAGGUUCGUUCGAACCUUAUUGAGAAUAAUUUUUCAUGAGAGUAAUUUUGGCGCAAUGCAGCGAAAGCAGUACAUGGAAACCACCAUUUUGAAGACUUGCGAUUCCACACCUCAGGACGGCACCGCUGCAAAGAAAAGCGCCAACCACUUGUACAUAAGGAUAUGGAAAUUACAGAAGAUCUUUUCUGUGAGACAGUGCCUUGAAGCCACCUUGGAAGUACUUCCCACACCACAUCCUAAUACGCUGAAGAUAUUGUACUGCCAGGCUGUUGCAGUGAAUGGUUUGGACAGAGAGAGAAGGAUGAGGGAGAGGAGACCUACUCGGUCUUGCUAGACCAAGCAAUGGCUUUUGGAGAGGGACGCCAUGUCUCAUACACCGCUUCUACGUGAGCUUCGGGACAAUAAUCCUGAGGACUACAGGAAUUACCUGCGUAUGAAUGAUGAUAUGUUUCAAGAGCUGCUGCAACUGGUGACGCCUCUCAUUGUGAAGCAGGACACAGUUAUGCGCAGGGCCAUUUCUGCUGAGGAACGGCUGGUCGCUACCCUGCGCUAUCUUGCUACUGGGAGACCACUACAGGACCUAAAGUUCUCCACCCUGAUCUCCCCUCAGGCUUUGGGAGUGAUCAUUCCAGAGACCUGCAAGGCCUUAUACAGCGUCCUCCGAAAGGACUAUCUGAAGUUUCCCACUAAAGCAGAGGAGUGGAAAGUAAUUGCCCGGGACUUUGAGGAUUGCUGGAAUUUCCCAAAUUGCGGAGGUGCCAUAGACGGCAAGCAUGUCCGCAUCUCUCCUCCUACAAAAAGUGGAUCUCUAUAUUAUAACUAUAAAGGUUAUUUUAGCAUAGUCUUGAUGGCUAUAGUUAAUGCUAACUAUGAGUUCAUAUUUGUGGAUGUGGGGAAAAUGGAAGAGCAUCCGAUGGCGGAUCAAUCAAAGAUACUGUGUUUUAUGAGAGGCUGCUUUGCAACCAAUUAGACCUACCGAAAGCUGAGGACUGCAUGCAUGGCUUGAAUUAUGUGUUUGUGGCAGAUGAAGCCUUUGCUCUGCACGAGCACAUCAUGAAACCCUACCCACAAAGGAACUUAUCCAAGGAGAAAUGCAUUUUUAAUUAUCGGCUCUCAAGGGCCCGCCGCAUAGUUGAAAACGCAUUUGGGAUCUUGAGUAGUAGGUUCAGAAUUUUCCACUCUGCUAUUGGCCUAAGGGUGGAUAAAAUAGACUGGGUUGUGUUGGCCUGCUGUGUUCUACACAAUUAUCUAAGGCGUAAGACUGGCCCAAAAUGCCCCCCAUCUACUACUCCGGCUAACAACCCUGAUGUGGACUCUGCCAGGCUGUCUGCUCAGGCCGACAACUCUGAUGUGGACUGUGCCAGGUUGCCUGCUCAGGCCGACAACUCUGAUGUGGACUCUGCUAGGUUGCCUGGACUUGAAAGGCCACAGUCCACACCUAAUCCCACUUUAAAGGCUAGAAAGGUCAGGGACGACUAUCUGACCUUUUUUAAUGGAGAAGGUGCAGUGGAUUGGCAAGACUCCUACAUUUAACUGCUUUUAUGUUUGAUAGACAUUACAUAUGCUUGAUUGGUUUUAUAUUUUAUUGUAUUUUUAUUUAUUUAUUUAUUUCCAAAAUAAAAAUGUAUCUUGUUUUAAA